UGGGGGAUAUUGCACAAUGGGCGAAAGCCUGAUGCAGCGACGCCGCGUGGGGGAUGAAGGCUUUCGGGUUGUAAACCUCUUUCGCUAUCGAACAAGGCCCGCUUAGGGUGGGUUGAGGGUAGGUGGAGAAGAAGCGCCGGCUAACUACGUGCCAGCAGCCGCGGUAAUACGUAGGGCGCGAGCGUUGUCCGGAAUUAUUGGGCGUAAAGGGCUUGUAGGCGGCUUGUUGCGCCUGCUGUGAAAACGCGGGGCUUAACUUCGCGCGUGCAGUGGGUACGGGCAGGCUUGAGUGUGGUAGGGGUGACUGGAAUUCCAGGUGUAGCGGUGGAUUGCGCAGAUAUCUGGAGGAACACCGAUGGCGAAGGCAGGUCACUGGGCCAUUACUGACGCUGAGGAGCGAAAGCAUGGGUAGCGAACAGG
This 420-nucleotide ribosomal RNA is filed under the name bacterium. RNAcentral's name for it is "partial 16S ribosomal RNA". It matches the Rfam family "Bacterial small subunit ribosomal RNA", at positions 355 to 776 of the family's 1533-position model. The record is from RNAcentral.